RNAcentral lists this long non-coding RNA (2383 nucleotides) under Cricetulus griseus (Chinese hamster). Its description in RNAcentral is "lncRNA (ENSCGRG00015033822.1)". The record is from RNAcentral. Lineage: Eukaryota; Metazoa; Chordata; Mammalia; Rodentia; Cricetidae.
GUGGAUUGUCAGACAUGAAGGCCUGACUGUGGAAGGCUUAGAAAGUUAGGCUGCAGAGUCCAGCCGUUUUCUUGUCACAGUGGAGAGCCCUGGAAAGUUUCAGAGCAGAGGCUCAGUGCUGUACCUUGGAUGUACUUCUCGGACUUUGAGUCAUCUCUUCUCUCCACUUGGACCACUCUUCCUCAAGACGGCUAUAUACCGUGGUGAAAAAACAAGCCUGUUCCUUCAAGUUGGCUCAAAAGUCACCUUUCCAGGGAGUCUACAUUUGACAGUCAUAUAAUCAUAUCCUUUGCCCCCCAUCACUUAUAGUGGUUGGUAUUGCUUAACAUAGUUUUGAAAACUAUAGGAAUUGCCUUCUUCUAGUCCAUGCUCCUUCCUGCAUCCCUGAAUGUCGGGUCUGAAGAUAAAGGGUUUUUUGUUUUGUUUUGUUUUGUUUUGUUUUGUUUUGUUUUGUUUUUCUGUUUUAUCCACUGCUUAAAAAACUGAGCCUAACACAAGAGGUGUUCUGUGUUGAUUAGACGAGAGACAGAAUGGACUGUAGCAAAGGACCUGGGAUCCUUUAACCACAUAGACACUGUUGGGAAGUUGCCUCGAAGAUGACCUUCUCUUUCUUCUGGCUUCCCCCAAAUCCCCAUGGACUUAUGUUUUAGCCUUCAGUGCAUGAGAUGUGGUUCCUGGCUUAAGUCGAGGGAAGCAGUUAAGAGCAUGGGUUUGGAGUAAGAGUCAGACGCACAUCUCUGCCUGUUUUUCUUCCCAGCUGUGUGGCUUGGGGGAAAUUGUCUCUGAUGUGAGGCUGUAACACGUGUCGGAACUCAUAAAGCACGUGGAGGUGGCUCACACUAUCAUUAAUAGAGGUGAGUGGUUGAAAGCAAGGGAGCUGAGAAAUGCAGCUUUCCCCUAAUGGCUAUUUGAACUGUGUUCAGUGAAAACAGGGUGCUGCAGAGAUGACUCAGAGGUUGAGAGCACAGGCUGCUCUUCCAGAGGUCCUGAGUUCAAUUCCUAGCAACCACAUGGUGGCUCACAGCCAUCUAUAGUGAGAUCUGGUGCCCUCUUCUGUCCUGCAGGCAGAACACUGUAUACAUAAUAAAUAAAUCUUUUUUUUUUUUUUUAAGAAGAAAAUAUUGAGGAAGGAAACCUCCCGGAUUUUCUUGCUAAUAAAAAAAAUCAAGAGGUUUUAGUAAAGAGCUUUUCUUCACUAAGAAGAGUUAUUAAGUAAGCCUAAAUAAUGGAGUUGGACAAUGGUUUUGUACCUUAGAUCUUCCUCCAAGGAGAGGCCACAGAACCCUAGGAGGUACCUUGUGUCUGGGAUGAGCCUGUUGGAAUUUUUGUGGUUUUAAAUGUGCAGAUGUUUCUGCAUUUGCAGCCUCAACAUCUGGAGCUAGGUUCCCCAGUAGUACAGAUGGAGAAUAGCAACAUGCAAAUUCUGUGUGUUUAGCAGGGGGGAAGCCAAGGUAGAAGUCUGAGAAGGCAUAUGGAAAGGGAGCCAGAACUCGAAUUCAGGCAGGUGUCUGCCCCAGCUUUCUACCUAGAGCCCGAGGCCACAGGGAGGAACCGGGAGCUAGGGGAGAGACUGAGGUUUGCCUAAGGUCUGUUACUGCUCUAGUUUCAAACAUUCUAAAACAAAUCUAUCUCAUGAUUAGUUCACUACUCUAGAAAACCGUGGAGAAUGGAUGGCUCCAUGGCCUAAUGGUUAGAGCCCCCAUCUUGUGAAACAAGUUAAUCUUCACUGUUGACUGGAUCACCUGGGAGACAUGCUUCUGGACACAGAGUGAACAAGGACUCUUCUAGAGUUGAUACACGAGGAUCACCUUGAAGGUGAGAUGCAGCAUUCCAUGGGCUUGGGAGUGAAUCUGGAUAAAAGAGGAAGACAUGAAAGCCAGAUGAGUGCACUGGUCUCUCUCUGUCUCCUCAUCUGUGGAGAUCCAAGAAUGCCCAGCCACACAUUCCUGCCACCAAAUACCCGAGCAUGCCUUCUCCACCAUGAUAAACUGUUUUCUCAAACUGCGAGCGGAAAUAAAUCCCUCUUCAUUCAAGGUGCCGUUUCUCGGUAUUUGUUAACUUUAAACAAACAAACUGAUAAGCAAACCACAAAACCCAAUCAUUUCAUCGUCAACAACCACAACCCGAAAAACAGCUAAUACAAAAACUUUUGGAGGAACUAAACAAAACUCAGUGGUGUCUUUUGUUCUAAAGAUCUGUCCUCCUGUUUCAACAAACACAUCAUCCAUCUAGUGCCAUCCAUCCAUUUAAAAGUCAUCUUUAUUUUAAAAUCCACUGGUCCAUUUUAAGUCCACAUCUAUUUAAAAGUCCUAAGAUUUCUUGAGUUCCCCCCCCUUCAGCUUUUGCAAACUAUUGCCUAAAACAAAUGCUCACUCUGGUAUCU